ACGGCGAGUGAAGCGGGAAGAGCUCAAGCUUAAAAUCUCCACGCAAGUGGCGAAUUGUAGUCUAUUGAAGCUGUUGUCAGCAUAGCGACUUGGGAAAAGUCCCUUGGAAGAGGGCAGCAUAGAGGGUGAUACUCCCGUCUUUGCCCAAGUUGUCUGUGUGUACGACACGCUUUCUUUGAGUCGAGUUGUUUGGGAAUACAGCUCAAAGUAGGUGGUAAAUUCCAUCUAAAGCUAAAUAUUGGUGCGAGACCGAUAGCGAACAAGUACCGUGAGGGAAAGAUGAAAAGAACUUUGAAAAGAGAGUUAAAGAGUACCUGAAACUGUUGAAAGGGAACCGUAUCGUGUCUAGUGUUUAUCCUGUGCAUAUUUCACUGGCGGUCGCAAGAUUGCUGGUGCCCUGUGCAUGGGUGUGACGUCAGAGUCAGUUUGUGCUGCGGGAGAUGGCUAGUGAGGAGGUGCGUCCCUUUUGGGAAAGUUACAGCUCGCUAGCUAGUAGCCGUGGUGUAGACUGAGGUGCCUACAACAUGCUCUGGGGUCUUUUGUUGUCUCGUGUGGGUUGUUGCCUGGAUAGCUUGCUAUGCUGGUGAUAAUGUAUGCGAUCGAUGGCAAUCGUAACCUCUGCUGUUCGGGACUCUGGCGAA
RNAcentral lists this ribosomal RNA (641 nucleotides) under Aphanomyces laevis. Its description in RNAcentral is "eukaryotic LSU rRNA". It matches the Rfam family "Eukaryotic large subunit ribosomal RNA", at positions 86 to 633 of the family's 3401-position model. The record is from RNAcentral. Lineage: Eukaryota; Oomycota; Saprolegniomycetes; Saprolegniales; Verrucalvaceae.